AACGAACGCUGGCGGCAUGCCUAACACAUGCAAGUCGAACGAGGCCUUCGGGCUUAGUGGCGCACGGGUGCGUAACGCGUGGGAAUCUGCCCUUGGGUUCGGAAUAACAGUUAGAAAUGACUGCUAAUACCGGAUGAUGUCUUCGGACCAAAGAUUUAUCGCCCAGGGAUGAGCCCGCGUAGGAUUAGGUAGUUGGUGGGGUAAAGGCCUACCAAGCCGACGAUCCUUAGCUGGUCUGAGAGGAUGAUCAGCCACACUGGGACUGAGACACGGCCCAGACUCCUACGGGAGGCAGCAGUGGGGAAUAUUGGACAAUGGGCGCAAGCCUGAUCCAGCAAUGCCGCGUGAGUGAUGAAGGCCUUAGGGUUGUAAAGCUCUUUUACCCGGGAUGAUAAUGACAGUACCGGAGAAUAAGCCCCGGCUAACUCCGUG
RNAcentral lists this ribosomal RNA (432 nucleotides) under uncultured bacterium. RNAcentral describes it as "bacterial SSU rRNA". It matches the Rfam family "Bacterial small subunit ribosomal RNA", at positions 29 to 507 of the family's 1533-position model. The record is from RNAcentral.